RNAcentral lists this ribosomal RNA (301 nucleotides) under uncultured bacterium. RNAcentral describes it as "partial 16S ribosomal RNA". It matches the Rfam family "Bacterial small subunit ribosomal RNA", at positions 509 to 807 of the family's 1533-position model. The record is from RNAcentral.
CAGUCGCCGCGGUAAUACGUAGGGUGCAAGCGUUAAUCGGAAUUACUGGGCGUAAAGCGUGCGCAGGCGGUUCGUUAAGACAGAUGUGAAAUCCCCGGGCUUAACCUGGGAACUGCAUUUGUGACUGGCGGGCUAGAGUAUGGCAGAGGGGGGUAGAAUUCCACGUGUAGCAGUGAAAUGCGUAGAGAUGUGGAGGAAUACCGAUGGCGAAGGCAGCCCCCUGGGCCAAUACUGACGCUCAUGCACGAAAGCGUGGGGAGCAAACAGGAUUAGAUACCCCUGUAGUCCCUGUCUCUUAUAC